RNAcentral lists this ribosomal RNA (440 nucleotides) under uncultured bacterium. RNAcentral describes it as "partial 16S ribosomal RNA". It matches the Rfam family "Bacterial small subunit ribosomal RNA", at positions 338 to 795 of the family's 1533-position model. The record is from RNAcentral.
CCUACGGGAGGCAGCAGUGAGGAAUAUUGGUCAAUGGUCGGGAGACUGAACCAGCCAAGCCGCGUGAGUGAAGAAGUAUCUCGGUACGUAAAGCUCUAGCAGCAGGAAAGCAAAUGACGGUACCUGACUAAGAAGCCCCGGCUAACUACGUGCCAGCAGCCGCGGUAAUACGGAGGGGGCAAGCGUUAUCCGGAUUUACUGGGUGUAAAGGGAGCGUAGACGGCGCUGCAAGUCCGGAGUGAAAGCCCAUGGCUUAACCAUGGUACUGCUCUGGAAACUGUAGAGCUUGAGUGCGGGAGGGGCAGGCGGAAUUCCUGGUGUAGCGGUGAAAUGCGUAGAUAUUAGGAGGAACACCGGCGGCGAAGGCGGCCUGCUGGACCGUAACUGACGUUGAGGCUCGAAAGCGUGGGGAGCAAACAGGAUUAGAUACCCGAGUAGUC